Molecule: long non-coding RNA, 1765 nt
Organism: Leopardus geoffroyi (Geoffroy's cat)
Lineage: Eukaryota; Metazoa; Chordata; Mammalia; Carnivora; Felidae
Exons: 5
Source: RefSeq, a predicted model, not a curated record
GCUGGGCACGUUAUUAAUAGUUUUUAACGUGUUUACGUUACGGCUUCCAAAAAUCUUAGUGAGUUUUCUCUGCGCCCUCCCUCUUAGCGCCGCCUUUCCAUGCCCACCGUCCGUGACUGUCCCCCUGUCUAGCUUACCUCCGAAGAAGCUCCGGAGAGGCCAGGCUGGGCAGAGUGAGAGUGCUUUUACAUUUCUCUGACGCCGGUCUGCGAUUGUCCCCAGCCUUGUCUAAUUUGACUUUACCGGUUCGUCUUGGGCACAGACCGCUCUUUGAGGCUGCACAGCGCCACGGCUCGGCUGUCCUAUGUUUUGCUGUUGAAUUGGAAACCACCUGACUCUGUAUACACACUUGACUGACCUGUUGGACACUUCAGUUUGUCAGGUGCAGCUAUCAUCCUGAUGUGGUACAGCUUAUGGAAGCUUUGUUCAUUGACUGCCUUCCAUAUUCAUUGCAGCAUCUGAAUUCAUUGACUGGGAAAAUCAUGAGGCCCCUGCCAGGUCUCUUGCACUAGCUCUAUCAUGACACUCUAAGGAGGAACUUGGUUUUCAAACAAGUGAAUGGUUUGAGAGUUUUCCUGCCCUAAAUUUGUGAGACACAAUGGAGUGGAAAACUAAGAUAAGUAUCCAAAUUAUGUUUCUAUAUUCUAUGCCUGUAUUUUAUAGCUAUUUGAUUUCAAAAUAUUUUUCCUUGGUUCACUUUUACAGUCUUUGCUAUUUCUUUGUAUUUAUUGACACCUCUGUAUUGCUAUCUGUGUAUUUUCCAUCAGUUUAUAAUUCAUAUAUUUCAUUUAAAGAAUUACCUCAUUUUAGAAUCAAAGAUGCAAAAGGUCCUUCAGUAAUAGCUAAAAUUCCAAAUUUCCUUUCUCAAAAUCUAUAUGAUGAAAAAAAUUUAAAUAGGUAAACAAAAAUUGAAUUUGAGGCAAACGUAUCAGAUGGAAACACUCAUGCAAGCUUUUAUAGUUAUUUUUUUAGAAAGGAUCACAGAUUAGUUCUAUUAAGUUUAGAAAAGAUUAUUAUUCACAUGUCUAAGAUAAAUGGUAAAGUUAAGGAUAAGUGAUUAUUUGUAGGUAAGAGACAUAGAUGACAAUAAUUCUUUUUUUAUUUGCUGUAAUACAUAAUACAAGAACAAAGCUCUCUGUGGAAUGGCUUUUAUGUACUUAGAAGAAAUAAUGAAAGUCGAUUUGAUGUAUUACAAAAUUCAUAUUUGGAAUUCACUACCAUUUGGUUGUUAUUGAAACAAAUUUUUCCUCUGCAUUUUUAAAAAGUUGAAUAAUGUUUUUUCAUUAAUCAUCUUUUGAAGUUAUUUUGAAGUUAUGUUUCUAUAGGGCCGUAUAUAUACAUGAUGCCAUAUCAUGGAGAAAUUAUAAUCCUGAACAAAUGAAGCCCAUACCCAGAAGAGCCUAAAGUUUAUCUUUAUACAUAUUAGAAUAAAAAAAAUCAAAUUUCAUGGUUCAGUAUAGAACCUAAUCUCUGCAUGGUCUAGAAAGAAAACUGCUUUUAUAAGAGCAAUACUAAGCAUUUAGUCAGUGCUAUGGGGAGGAAAUCUUCCUGAACCAUAUGGCUUAGGGUGUCACAUGGCAUUGUUGUCUCACCUCUGUAAUGAACUUCUUUUCAUAAAGCAGUAUUUUGAGUCCCAGACCUAUAAGAAACAUUUCUGACGGUUAUAACUGCUAUGUGAAAAGAUGGAUAUUAACAGCAGCAUUUCUAAAAUGCCUCUUUAUUGAACUCCUUCAUUAAAACCAGAACUCUUUUUAAAAAACAUUUA